UGGCGGACGGGUGAGUAAUGUCUGGGGAAACUGCCUGAUGGAGGGGGAUAACUACUGGAAACGGUAGCUAAUACCGCAUAACGUCGCAAGACCAAAGAGGGGGACCUUAGGGCCUCUUGCCAUCGGAUGUGCCCAGAUGGGAUUAGCUAGUAGGUGGGGUAAAGGCUCACCUAGGCGACGAUCCCUAGCUGGUCUGAGAGGAUGACCAGCCACACUGGAACUGAGACACGGUCCAG
This 236-nucleotide ribosomal RNA is filed under the name uncultured bacterium. RNAcentral's name for it is "partial 16S ribosomal RNA". It matches the Rfam family "Bacterial small subunit ribosomal RNA", at positions 96 to 334 of the family's 1533-position model. The record is from RNAcentral.